Triplophysa dalaica is the source of this 1970-nucleotide long non-coding RNA. RefSeq lists it as uncharacterized. The record is from RefSeq and is a predicted model, not a curated record. The transcript is spliced from 2 exons. NCBI's taxonomy places the organism in Eukaryota, Metazoa, Chordata, Actinopteri, Cypriniformes, Nemacheilidae.
CUGGGGUCCGGGGAGGUUGCAAGACAUAUUCUUGGAAAAAAGAUUUAGCAAAAAACAAAAAAAAAUGUCCAGUUUGUAUCUGCUUAUUUUGCUAUGGAUGGUUUGCAGAAUUGUUUAUGUUUGAAUCUUUCUCAAUAAAAAGAUGAUUUUUUUCGGACUUGGAGUGAAAAUAUUGCCAACUUUGUUUAGAAACAAGUUUUUGACUAUUCAUCCAACACAUUUUAAACGUUUCUUUACACACAAAUCUAUAGAUUGAUAUAUAUAUUUUAGAAAAGGGGUCCAUCACAAAAGGUUAAUCAUAUUUGGGGGUCCUUGGCAUCAUACACUCUAAAAAAUGCUGGGUUAUUUGUUUAACCCAACAGCUGGGUUGAGCCUGUUGGGUCAUUUUGUUGGGUUAUUUUCUUAGUGUUGGGUCAUUUUUUGAGUAACCCAAACGCUGGGUUACCAGUCUGGUCCAAUUGAGUGACAGUUGAGAGAGUAAACCCCUCCCACUCCUCUACGCAUCAGACAAACUUUACCUUCGCGGGCAUUUUGAUCCACUUCAUCUCGGAAAGCUGUUAUUCGGAGAAUAAAAGGUAUGUUUUACGAGUUUUUAAUGUAUAAAACUAUUACUGUAAAAAAGUAUGCAAAAUUCGGCUGUUCGCAUUAGGUUUGAAAGUAACGUCUAGCUUCGUUAGCUUUGGAUAGCUAGUCUGUAACGUUAUGCCCACGUUGUUCUAAUUUACAGCUUUUUAAUCAUUUAAACUUCCUUUUUGGUGAACAUUUCCUCUGAAAUGUGUGACUUGUGUGAGGAAUUUAGUUCAGUAACUUACGCAUCUUGAUAUUAGUUUAAGGUCGACACGAGAGCGUCGUGUCAAAAGCAAACAUCCAGCUCAUUUUUUUUUAUAAAUACCGCUAAUGUUCGGUGACGGAACUUAGAUUUAAGAGUCUUUUAGACGAGAAUGUUGUUGUUAAGAACUCAAAUACGUGAUUUAUAUAUAAACAUAACGCCUCUUUGAGAUUUUGUUAAGACGCUGUCGGAGGUGUGAGCUUCAGGCUGUCAGCUGUCGUGUCUCCGUGGAGAGCAGCUCUAUCUCGGCCAUUGCUUCGGGAAUAGCCGCUGGCUCUUAUAACGUUAGUGGUUAACAAUGCGAUAUAGUUAAUUUUGGGUAUAUGAGACGAACAAUUGUUGCUCUUUUUAGACUUAAACUUAUUCCCGAGUGUGUCGAAUUAGUGAAGGGUUGUUUUAACGUUUAUAAUAUUAUUUUUUAAGACUGUAUUUCGCUUUCUGUACUAGAUCCUACUCUUCUUUUCCCCCCACUGACAGCGUGCAGAAUAACAGCUAAUAUUAAUGGAUCAUUCUAUUCAAGAGAAUGUCAACUGGAACGUGGAUGUUUUCAUAACAGGCUUAAAGAUGAACAAAUUGAUAAAGAAACCCUCCUGCUGGACAUCCACUUCCAAAAGUGCACACCACACUGUUGUCUACAACUACUAGGAAAAGAAUCCUCUUCAGUAAGUCUGCUCCGUGGAUAUGUCAGGUUAAGCAGUGCUGAAACCGAAAGAACUAACACUAUUUAAAAUGUUUUGUGAGUUUAUAUGAAGAGGAAAGUUACGGUGUCCCUUUUUCACAUCCAUAACGCUUGUUUAUUUCUUUUUUUAUAGAAAACUUGUGCAUAGACUUAUAUUUUAACAUAUAAAUGCGGUUCUAUUAACAAGGGUUUAGUAAAAUACUUUUUAUAGCGUUUUGAAGUGUUAAGUUGUCUAACUAUUUAUAUUUACUUGUGCCACUUUAAUAACCUUGUUAAAUGUCUAUGUUAAAAUCUAAACUAAUGUAAUUUAUUGAAAUUAAUGUUCUUUAAAUAUGUAUAAACAUACAUUUCAUCAAAGUGUUUUAUAUGCCAUUUUAUUGUUCAUUGAGCAUAACAUAUUGCAUGUUUUUAUGAAUUCCUUUUGUCUUGCAUUUUGAUCCUUAAUAAAACUAUUGAUUCUUA